UCACAAUGCAAAACCCUGGGAGCUUCGAGGAUGUGCCCUUUCUCCUCCAUCCUGAACUAAUGGAAAUCAAGGCUGAAGGCUGAGCCUGCCGGGGAGCCCACAAGAGCCCCUCAGUGCCACAGAGGCCUGGCCUGACUUUGGCAGGUCUCCAGCAGUGACCACAGAGUGCUAAAUAAUAAUAGGGUUGAAUUAUUUAUACAGAGGCCAAUGACUCAUGAGGCAUGGUCCACUUCUAGAAGAGUGCCAGGGUCCCAAGUCUAAGGUGAGUGGCCACCAGAGGGAGGACUGCAGUCCU
This 295-nucleotide long non-coding RNA is filed under the name Homo sapiens (human). RNAcentral's name for it is "HSALNT0221974". The record is from RNAcentral. Lineage: Eukaryota; Metazoa; Chordata; Mammalia; Primates; Hominidae.